RNAcentral lists this long non-coding RNA (1585 nucleotides) under Canis lupus familiaris (dog). Its description in RNAcentral is "lncRNA (ENSCAFG00000055094.1)". Lineage: Eukaryota; Metazoa; Chordata; Mammalia; Carnivora; Canidae. The record is from RNAcentral.
GGUGAUGCUGUUUAGGACCAAUUUCAAAGGAGGAGAUUUCCACUAAUGCAGGAAAACCUGAUGCAAAACAAGGGGGUGAAAUGACUGAUGGGGACUUUUCUCAUUCAACCUUUCUUUUUUCCCCCAAUAUCUUGAUAUCCCAGAUGGAACACUGAUCAAAGGAAUUAUGCAUGACAAUGAGAAUGUUAGCCAUAGCGACCAUGGUAAAUCACAGAGAAGCAACAGAACAUCAUGCAGUUGGGAGGAGGGACCAAUUAACAAGAGGACACAUAAGGGACACAUAUACAGAGUCUGCUGCCCCAGCUACUGCUCCGGUGACCAGCUUUGGAAGGGCAUGACUGAUUACAUCUUACCUAAUACCUGCCUUCUACACCUCUAAGUGAGACAUCUAAGGAUCUGCACAGUGACCCUGCAUGUGCAACUUGGAAGUACAGGAAAAUGAUUGUCCCAUGGAGCAAGCCCUUGAAAGUGGAAAUUAACAUGAAUAGACCAGCACAUCUCCACCUUUCUUCAUGAUCUUGAGAAACAGUUGAUUACAAAGCCUCUCAGAAGCUAACAGACCUGCAGGAUCUAUCAAUCCAUCACUGUGCUUGGUAUUCUACAGAGGACAAGAGGAGACUACAUUGUCUUUCUGACUGUUUUGCCACCUACUUUCUUGGUUUCUCUACUCCUACUCUUUUUAUGGGACCCCGGGCUGAGAUUACCUCUCCUGACACUCUCAUUUCACCUUUCCAGUCCCUUGAAAUAAACACCAACUACAAAAAUGUAUUGCAUAUAUAGAAAAGACCUGGAACUUUGAUGUGACAAACAUUAUGAUGUAACUUCCCCCCAAAUCACAAGUCAAUAUCAGACUGCCUUUAUGAAGCAAGAAGCCAUGUGAUUUUCCUAAAUUUCUGAAUUUUAUAAAUGAGAUUACAGUUAACCCACCUUCUCUGAGUCUAAUUCAUAUGCCCUCUACACUAUAGGGGUGGAUUCAAAUCUGUUUAACAAAAUAAAUGGUUAAAAUAGUAAAUAUCUUUAUUCUGUAAAAAAUCCUUUGAGAGGAUAUGAAAGAGAUCUUUCAACAAAUGAGUGAAUGUUAUUUAGAGGAUUUUAACUCAUUACAUUUAAUUCCAGUGAUAAAAAUUAGGAUGAACAAGCAGAAUAACAACUACAAUGAUAAUAAGUUAAGAACUUAUGUGUGCCAGUCACUGUGAUAAGUGCUUUACUAAAAUCCUCAUUUAUGUGCACAACAUCCCUUCAAAGUGCUUACUGCUUUUAUUUCUAUUUUGAAGACUAGAAAAGUGACAUUGGGAUAUACUGAGCAAUUUGGUAAAGGCCCAGUCAAGGAAGUGGUGGAGGUUAUCUGGUCAGUGCAACAUCUGCACCCUUAAUCACUAUACUAUCAUGGCAACACAGAGGUGCAGCUGUUAGCUCAGUGUUAGGAAGGAUAUUUAAUAAUCAGGGGUUUGAAGAAGUAAUUGGGUGUCCCCACCAUGGUGAGAUUCACCAGCUGAUUUGUGGGGUAUGACAUCGCUGGUCCUCCUAAGAUGAGACAGAGCAGACACAAUAUAAUCAGCUCUAUUAAUUCCUUCACAUAAGUGGA